CAAUUCGCCCUUCGGGGUGCAGCAGGCGCGAAAACUUUGCAAUAAGCGAAAGCUUGACAGGGCUAUCCCGAGUGCCAUCCGCUGAGGAAGGCUUUUACCCAGUCUAGAACGCUGGGGGAAUAAGGAGAGGGCAAGUCUGGUGUCAGCCGCCGCGGUAAUACCAGCUCUCCGAGUGGUGUGGAUGUUUAUUGGGCCUAAAGCAUCCGUAGCUGGCUAAGUUAGUCCCCUGUUAAAUCCACCGAAUUAAUCGUUGGAUUGCGGGGGAUACUGCUUGGCUAGGGGACGAGAGAGGCAGACGGUAUUUCCGGGGUAGGGGUGAAAUCCUAUAAUCCCGGGAAGACCACCAGUGGCGAAGGCUGUCGGCUAGAACGCGCCCGACGGUGAGGGAUGAAAGCUAGGGGAGCGAACCGGAUUAGAUACCCGGGUAGUCCCAGCUGUAAACGAUGCAGACUAGGUGUUUGAACGGCCACGUGCCGUUCUAGUGCCGCAGGGAAGCUGUUAAGUCUGCCGCCUGGGGAGUACGAUCGCAAGAUUGAAACUUAAAGGAAUUGGCGGGGGAGCAC
RNAcentral lists this ribosomal RNA (563 nucleotides) under uncultured archaeon. RNAcentral's name for it is "bacterial SSU rRNA". It matches the Rfam family "Archaeal small subunit ribosomal RNA", at positions 314 to 879 of the family's 1478-position model. The record is from RNAcentral.